This 73-nucleotide transfer RNA is filed under the name Agrobacterium rubi. RNAcentral's name for it is "tRNA-Ser". It matches the Rfam family "tRNA". Rfam says of the family: Transfer RNA (tRNA) molecules are approximately 80 nucleotides in length. Their secondary structure includes four short double-helical elements and three loops (D, anti-codon, and T loops). Further hydrogen bonds mediate the characteristic L-shaped molecular structure. tRNAs have two regions of fundamental functional importance: the anti-codon, which is responsible for specific mRNA codon recognition, and the 3' end, to which the tRNAs corresponding amino acid is attached (by aminoacyl-tRNA synthetases). tRNAs cope with the degeneracy of the genetic code in two manners: having more than one tRNA (with a specific anti-codon) for a particular amino acid; and 'wobble' base-pairing, i.e. permitting non-standard base-pairing at the 3rd anti-codon position. Lineage: Bacteria; Pseudomonadati; Pseudomonadota; Alphaproteobacteria; Hyphomicrobiales; Rhizobiaceae. The record is from RNAcentral.
CGUCAUGUAGCUCAAUGGACAGAGCGCCGGGCCGCUAGCCCGGAGGCCGGAGGUUCAAGUCCUCCCAUGACGA